GAUGAACGCUGGCGGCGUGCCUAAUACAUGCAAGUCGAGCGAACAGACGAGGAGCUUGCUCCUCUGACGUUAGCGGCGGACGGGUGAGUAACACGUGGAUAACCUACCUAUAAGACUGGGAUAACUUCGGGAAACCGGAGCUAAUACCGGAUAAUAUAUUGAACCGCAUGGUUCAAUAGUGAAAGACGGUUUUGCUGUCACUUCUAGAUGGAUCCGCGCCGCAUUAGCUAGUUGGUAAGGUAACGGCUUACCAAGGCAACGAUGCGUAGCCGACCUGAGAGGGUGAUAGGCCACACUGGAACUGAGACACGGUCCAGACGCCUAAGGGAGGCAGCAGUAGGGAAUCUUACGCAAUGGGCGAAAGCCUGACGGAGCAACGCCGCGUGAGUGAUGAAGGUCUUCGGAUCGUAAAACUCGGUUAUUAGGGAAGAACAAAUGUGUAAGUAACUAUGCACGUCUUGACGGUACCGAAUCAGAAAGCCACGGCUAACUACGUG
RNAcentral lists this ribosomal RNA (497 nucleotides) under uncultured bacterium. RNAcentral's name for it is "partial 16S ribosomal RNA". It matches the Rfam family "Bacterial small subunit ribosomal RNA", at positions 28 to 507 of the family's 1533-position model. The record is from RNAcentral.